AGCAGUUCUCGGGGCGGGGUGAAAUUCCCCACCGGCGGUAUCGGGGAAACCCGGAGCCCGCGAGCGCUUCGGAUAAAAUGUUCGAAGGUCAGCAGAUCCGGUGAGAUGCCGGAGCCGACGGUUGAGGUGGCGUCAAGCGAAGCCGCCCGAAAGUCCGGAUGAGAGAGAACUUGA
Molecule: non-coding RNA, 174 nt
Filed under: Roseibium aggregatum
Lineage: Bacteria; Pseudomonadati; Pseudomonadota; Alphaproteobacteria; Hyphomicrobiales; Stappiaceae
Also listed under: 1 other name
Description: Labrenzia aggregata FMN riboswitch aptamer (RFN element)
Rfam family: FMN riboswitch aptamer (RFN element)
About the family: The RFN element is a highly conserved domain that is found frequently in the 5'-untranslated regions of prokaryotic mRNAs that encode for flavin mononucleotide (FMN) biosynthesis and transport proteins. This element is a metabolite-dependent riboswitch that directly binds FMN in the absence of proteins. In Bacillus subtilis, the riboswitch most likely controls gene expression by causing premature transcription termination within the 5' untranslated region of the ribDEAHT operon and precluding access to the ribosome-binding site of ypaA mRNA.
Source: Rfam by way of RNAcentral